AACGCUGGCGGCAGGCCUAACACAUGCAAGUCGAGCGGAUGAAGGGAGCUUGCUCCUGGAUUCAGCGGCGGACGGGUGAGUAAUGCCUAGGAAUCUGCCUGGUAGUGGGGGAUAACGUCCGGAAACGGGCGCUAAUACCGCAUACGUCCUGAGGGAGAAAGUGGGGGAUCUUCGGACCUCACGCUAUCAGAUGAGCCUAGGUCGGAUUAGCUAGUUGGUGGAGUAAAGGCCUACCAAGGCGACGAUCCGUAACUGGCAUGAGAGGAUGAUCAGUCACACGGGAGUUGAGGCGCGGUCCGGAGGCCUACGGGAGGCACCAGUAGGGAAUGUUGGACAAUGUGCGAAAGCUUUACGCAGCAGCGCGGCGUGAGUGAUGACGGUAUUCGGAUUGUAUAACUUUUUUACUAGGGAAGAACAUAUGUGUAAGUAUCUGUUCACGUCUUGACGGUACCUAAUCAGAAAGCAACGGCUAACUACGUG
Molecule: ribosomal RNA, 480 nt
Filed under: uncultured bacterium
Lineage: Bacteria
Description: partial 16S ribosomal RNA
Rfam family: Bacterial small subunit ribosomal RNA
Source: RNAcentral